GGGCGUGUAGCUCAGUCUGGGAGAGCACCGGUUUUACACACCGGAGGUCGUCGGUUCGAAACCGGCCGCGCCCA
RNAcentral lists this transfer RNA (74 nucleotides) under Actinomycetota bacterium. RNAcentral's name for it is "tRNA-Val". It matches the Rfam family "tRNA". From Rfam's summary of the family: Transfer RNA (tRNA) molecules are approximately 80 nucleotides in length. The record is from RNAcentral. Lineage: Bacteria; Bacillati; Actinomycetota.